CCGGUUGAAUUGGAGCAUAAAGCACAUUGGGCCAUCAAAACCUUUAAUAUGGACAUUGAUGCCGCAGGUCUUCAUAGGAAACUUCAAUUGAACGAGCUUGAGGAAGUUAGGAAUGAAGCUUACGAGAACUCUCGUAUUUACAAGGAGAAAAUGUUGAUGAUAUGUUUUAAUCCUUCCCAAUGCUAAAACAUAUUGAGUAUAAUAGCACAAGUAAGGGUGUCGAAUCCACAGGGACUAAUUGGACCUAUACAAUCACUUGUUUUGCAAGAACCAUAUUAAAUGACUUAAACUAAGCAACUUAGACAGAUUUGUUGUUGUAACUUAAAAACUCACAAGAAUGAUGACAACACAAGUAAAGGAAUCGACAAGUAAUAAAAUGGAAUAAUACCAAUGGAGAUGGAACUAGGGAUUCGGUUUCACCAUAGCUAAAUCAAUCCCAUGUUUGUUAAAUCAAUUUAUGCUCAUUCAUUUACCUAUUUCUUGAGUUUGUUUCACUUAGAUAUGAUCAACCAUAUGAUGUGUGGAUUUGAUCAAAUCAUCCUAGUCAAGAACCAAAUUGUGAUGUGCAACUUUGGUUCUCAACCAAGGAUGUUUUAUACAUAAGAAACUUUCACAAAACCAAAGGGGACACACGGCAGGAUGUUUGCCAAACAUCUCCUUCAAUCACUCCCAAAUCUGCCAAAAUUAUGCAUGAUGUGUGUGCUUCUAAUUUUGGCUACACAACCUGUGGUUAAUUCAAGUGGUGAUCAAGCAUUAAAAUCAACACACAAAGUCACAAUAAAAUCAGAGAAUGAAACAAGAAAUAGAAGGAUCAAAUGAGCAUUAUGAAUUAACUACAUGGGUUUUCUUGCUAGGCUACAUCGAAUCCCUAAGAAGGAGAUUAGUUACAUUUCAUGUUUACAAACGUUUUAACAUAGAAAUACAUAACAUGAAUGAACAUGGAAUUGAGAAGAAGAAACCCUUGAAGCAAAACUGAUGUUGAAAUCCUUCAAGAAUGGCCUUCGGUCUUGAUUCUCCAAUUGUGAUGUAACAUGAAAGAUGAGCAGUUUGUGGAUGGGUGGUUUGUGCGAAUGGGAGAGAAGAUGGACAGAAAGUGGAAUUGCUAAGUGUGUGAAUGGUGUGACCGAGAGAGCCCCCAAGAAGUGAGAUUGCAUGGACUUUUAAAAUGAAGUCUCUUGGGAGAACAUGCGGAUGAUAGUAGAAUAAUGGAGCUGCCAAAUCUGAAAUGAUGAUGGAAUGAGGUGAUUUCUGGAAUGGCAAGGCACGGCACCAGAGAACACAAGCAUGCUUGGUGCUUAUUUAAUUGAAGAAGCAUGUGCAAUGGCUGCAAGGUUGCAGUGGACAAGCUGGAAUUGUUCCCACAUGCUGGAAAGGGAAAGAAAGGCACGGCAUGGCUUUGCUUUGAGGUGAACAUGUGGCUGAAUGACUUAGUUUAAUGGGAUUGCAUGUUGCUGCUGCCAAAAAGGAGCUGGAAUUGCAAGGGAAUGCACGGCACAAGGUGUGUGCAACCCCUAAUUUAAUUCCAAUGCUCUUGCUUUGUUUGAAACCGAAUGCACCACUUUCCCUCCACAUGCUUUCUUGAAAUUUCAACAGCCAAAGUAGUUCUAUAAUCCUCAAAAUAACUCCUCAAGAACCUUCUCCACGUUUGGGAUGAUGAUCAUCUACCAAAAGGAAUGAUUUUACUUCAUUUGCAAUCCAAUUGAUCCUAAAACAUACUUGACUGCACACUAACACCAAAUAAUGUAAAAACACAACUAGCUUGAUUCAAAAACAUCACAAAACUGCCAAAUAAAGAUGAUAUAAAUGUACACAAAAUGUAUACAUCAGAAAACGAAGGCCUUCCAUGACAGGAUGAUUCGGAGCAAGACGUUCUCUAUCGGGCAGAAAGUGCUACUUUUCAAUUCUCGCCUUCGGUUAUUUCCAGGUAAGUUGCGUUCUAAAUGGAUUGGACCUUUUAUUGUUACUAAUGUUUUUUCGCAUGGUGCAGU
Molecule: long non-coding RNA, 1988 nt
Filed under: Malus domestica (apple)
Lineage: Eukaryota; Viridiplantae; Streptophyta; Magnoliopsida; Rosales; Rosaceae
Description: long non-coding RNA (MDOM_LNC020693)
Source: RNAcentral